AUGGACCUGACCUGGCGCACUGACGCCGGUCGCACCAUGAUCCGUCACGACCCCGGCGACAAACACCGAGCUCCUUCUCCGCUGGCGACACACGCCUGGCGUCCCUCUGCGCCCCGCACGUCCCGCCCACACCCGACGCGCCCGACGAGCCCGAUCGUAUCAGUGCAUCCCGCACGUCCCGCGCGCACCCGACGUGCCCGACGAGCCCGACCGCACCAGACGCUCACCGCACGCCGCCUCCGCGUCCGCCAUGGCAGCCGCCAGCGACAAACGCCGAAGGAUGCAGCCAAACUCGAGCACGGACUCGAGCCCAACGGCGACAUACACCUCCUCCCAACGUCAACCGCACGCUCGUACGCGCGCCCACGGUCCCGACGCGUCCAGUGCGCACCCAUAACACGCACCGGUCACGCCCGGCUCGCCGCCACGGCUUAUUGCCCUGCACCGCUGCGGCCUCAACCGCAACGCAGCACCUCCAUGCCGCCAUGCCGCUGUGUGUCGUUGAAGCCGCCACCACGCAGGUCCUCCGCGGCCUCCUCACCGUGCCGCCGCAGCCACCGCGGCCUCCUCGCCGCGCCGCGCACCUCCAUAGACCGACACACGGCCCGGAGCAUCGCGCAGCCGCCGACGAACUCCGCCACCGUUGGCCCGCCUCCGGCAAGGAGAACAACGCCAAAGAUGAACCAGCUCUGA
This 693-nucleotide ribosomal RNA is filed under the name Triticum aestivum (bread wheat). Its description in RNAcentral is "partial small subunit ribosomal RNA". Lineage: Eukaryota; Viridiplantae; Streptophyta; Magnoliopsida; Poales; Poaceae. The record is from RNAcentral.